UACGGGGGGGGCAAGCGUUGUUCGGAAUUACUGGGCGUAAAGGGCUCGUAGGCGGCCAACUAAGUCAGACGUGAAAUCCCUCGGCUUGACCGGGGAACGGCCUCUGAUACUGGAUGGCUUGAGUUCGGGAGAGGGAUGCGGAAUUCCAGGUGUAGCGGUGAAAUGCGUAGAUAUCUGGAGGAACACCGGUGGCGAAGGCGGCAUCCUGGACCGACACUGACGCUGAGGAGCGAAAGCCAGGGGAGCAAACGGG
RNAcentral lists this ribosomal RNA (253 nucleotides) under uncultured bacterium. RNAcentral's name for it is "partial 16S ribosomal RNA". It matches the Rfam family "Bacterial small subunit ribosomal RNA", at positions 524 to 776 of the family's 1533-position model. The record is from RNAcentral.